CAGGACAUUAGGGCACAGGGACGUGUGCACAUACAACACCAGUGUGCCAUGUGAAGAUGGCCUGCUGGGCACCACCAUUCAGAUGCAAAGGAAUGUUGGGUCUGAAGGUCUUACCCCAGAAGAAACUGUGAACUUCAUCUUGUCUGCCUAGAGGAUGAGAAGAUCCAGAGCCAGGAAGGGAAGCCCGUCACUCAAGCCCGCUAUGAAGCAGCCUGCAACAGUCUGGCCCACAAGGUGGUGCAGCUGGGCUUGGGGGCAAAGUCGCAGUGAUGAUGGUGCCGAGAGGGCAAUGAGGGCACUGCCACCCAGGAACAUGGCAAGGAAUUGACUUCAAAGGUUCACUUGUAUGUGUACCCAUUAUGUGUAUUUUGUGUACUCCUGGGGGACACUCUCAUGACUGUAAAUAAGGUUCCUUUGUUUCUAAAAAUAAAAAUUUUAUCUUUUGUGAAGAGA
This is a long non-coding RNA of Myotis lucifugus (little brown bat), 453 nucleotides long. RefSeq lists it as uncharacterized. Lineage: Eukaryota; Metazoa; Chordata; Mammalia; Chiroptera; Vespertilionidae. The record is from RefSeq and is a predicted model, not a curated record. The transcript is spliced from 2 exons.